Sorex araneus (European shrew) is the source of this 965-nucleotide long non-coding RNA. RefSeq lists it as uncharacterized. The transcript is spliced from 3 exons. The record is from RefSeq and is a predicted model, not a curated record. Lineage: Eukaryota; Metazoa; Chordata; Mammalia; Eulipotyphla; Soricidae.
CAGGUACAAGUCAGCUGCAUAUUUGGAGUGGAAAGCCCAAGGCUAGAAGCCCGGAAUAUCGAAAACAAUCAUCUGAAUUGGACCCAAAAUCUUCUCAGUUACCACACCGGAAACCUGGCAGGGAGGGGACCUGCCGGUUCAAAUGAGCAGAACCCAGAAUCAGAAAUCUUGGCUGUCUUUUCCUUCCUCUGGCACCAGAAACAGCCCUGACACGCUCAGGAAAAGGCCUGCGACCUGUUUCCCUGGGAAAAACACAGGCAACACUAUUACCAGGAACCCGAGCGUCGAUGGAUGAGCAGAGCGGCCAGGGAGUCGCAUGAACAGGACGGGGAUGGGGAGCUUGCUCGCAGCAAGGCAGAGAGAAGACAGGAGCCUUCCCUUCAGCAGGCCGCUCGGACAGGUGACAUUCUCAGUGCCCCGCCAGUCUGGGCCGUGCCACUGCCACGGAGGACCUUCCGGAGCCUGAGCACUGCGGAAUAGCAGGAAACAAAGGGAAGGAAACGCUGAGUCAGGCCCCGUGAGGAUGGGGGCCAGCCUGCGUUCACGCCACCGGAGCCAAGGAGGGCUUGGACCACACGAACUGCAAGAGGCGAGUAAGUCUCCUGCGAGAGCCCCAGCACUGUGCGGUCCUCCACGCUAGGAGUGACCCCAAAGCAAACCGGGUGUGGUCCCCCAAACAAAACAAAACAAAUAAUUCUCCCCGUCUUCGAGCCUUGAAACAGGCAUGCCCCACCAACACUUGGGUUUAAAACUCUUAUUUUUUUGACGAGCAAAUAAAGUUCUGAAUAAAGUUUUUGUUCUUUUUUAUUUUUUCUUUCUUUCUCCCAAUGUCAGGGAUCAAACCUGGGGCCUCACACAUGCAAAUCAAGUGCUCUAUGGCUGAGCCACACCUCGGGCCCUAAAUUUGCCCAACCUCCAAAUUUGUGAUAAAUUUUCAUGACAAUCUUAUGGAAAUGAAUACGGUC